AAUUGAUAGUCCACGAUUAAUUGUACUUAAAUUAAAAGUUUGUAUAUCGUCGUAGUUGAAUACCUUAUAAGAGUGAAAGUAUUCAAUAUUUAUAGUUUUAAAUUAAAUCAGAUCAAGAUAUAGCUUAUAUUUGAGAAGAGGUGGGUUACAAUAAAAUUAUUUUUGGUUAUAAUAAUUAAAAUUAUUAUUUAAAUUGGAUUUGAAAGUAAUAUAUUUUAUUUAAAAUAUAUGAUUUUAGCUCUGAAAUAUGCACAUAUCGCCCGUCGCUUCCAACGAAUUUUAAGUUGGAAUAAGUCGUAACAUAGUAGGUGUACCGGAAGGUGUACCUAGUUUGUCAAAUUAAAGCUUUAAGAGUAUUUUAUUUACAUUAAAAAGAUAAUUGUGAGAAUCAAUUUAAUUUGAAUUUAAAAAUUUAUUAUUUUUUAUAUUUAUUAAAAUUAAAAAAAAUAUUUUUAUAUUUAUUUAUUAAUUUAGAUAAAAUUAAUUAAAUUAUAGUUUAUUAGUAUAGUAGUAGAAUAUUGAAAAAUUUGAAAAUAUAUAUUUUUAAAAGAAAAAUUAAAAUUUUGUACCUUGUGUAUCAGGGUUUAUUAAAUAUUAAUUAUAAAUUUUAAUUUUCUCGAAUUUAAAAGAGUUAAGAAAUUAUAUAUUUUAUUGUGAAAUAAAUAUUUAAAAUAAUUUUUUAGUUAUGAAACGUUAUUCGUUUUUAAAUAUAUCUAGUUUUUUAAGAAAUAAAUUUAAUUUAGUUAAUUAUUUAAAUAAAAAUAAUUAUUUAUUUUUUAUUAAUAUAAUUAAUUAAUAUUUUAAGGGUUAAGCUUUAAAGUAAAAUUUUUAUAAAUAUAUAAAAUUUUUGAUAUAAAUUAAUAGGAUUAAAAUUUUUUAUUUUUAGUAGUAUGUUAUAAUAAGUUUAUAUUUUAAUUAAAUUUUUAUAUAAUUUUAAAUUUUAUAUUAAAAUAAUUUAUUAAAUAUUAAAAUAUAUGUGAUAAUGAUAGAAUUAGUAUAAUAAUUUUGUUUUUAUUAAUUUAGAUUUAGGUUAAAUUAAGGAACUCGGCAAAAUACUUUUUUGCCUGUUUAUUAAAAACAUGUCUUUUUGAUAAUAAUUUAAAGUCUAACCUGCCCUAUGAUUUUAUUAUUAAAUGGCCGCGGUAUUUUGACCGUGCAAAGGUAGCAUAAUCAUUAGUUUUUUAAUUAAGAACUGGUAUGAAUGGUUGGACAAGAAAAGUGCUGUCUCAAUUUAAUUUUUAUUAAAAUUUUAUUUUUAAGUUAAAAAGCUUAAAUUUAUUUAAAAGACGAGAAGACCCUAUAGAGUUUAAUAUUAUAUUUUUUAUUUAAAAAAAUAAGAAUUAAUAAUUUUA
Molecule: ribosomal RNA, 1352 nt
Filed under: Lepanus sp. SQ3
Lineage: Eukaryota; Metazoa; Arthropoda; Insecta; Coleoptera; Scarabaeidae
Description: partial large subunit ribosomal RNA
Source: RNAcentral